Molecule: ribosomal RNA, 1469 nt
Filed under: Escherichia coli
Lineage: Bacteria; Pseudomonadati; Pseudomonadota; Gammaproteobacteria; Enterobacterales; Enterobacteriaceae
Description: partial 23S ribosomal RNA
Rfam family: Bacterial large subunit ribosomal RNA
Source: RNAcentral
GGGUUGUGAGGUUAAGCGACUAAGCGUACACGGUGGAUGCCCUGGCAGUCAGAGGCGAUGAAGGACGUGCUAAUCUGCGAUAAGCGUCGGUAAGGUGAUAUGAACCGUUAUAACCGGCGAUUUCCGAAUGGGGAAACCCAGUGUGUUUCGACACACUAUCAUUAACUGAAUCCAUAGGUUAAUGAGGCGAACCGGGGGAACUGAAACAUCUAAGUACCCCGAGGAAAAGAAAUCAACCGAGAUUCCCCCAGUAGCGGCGAGCGAACGGGGAGCAGCCCAGAGCCUGAAUCAGUGUGUGUGUUAGUGGAAGCGUCUGGAAAGGCGCGCGAUACAGGGUGACAGCCCCGUACACAAAAAUGCACAUACUGUGAGCUCGAUGAGUAGGGCGGGACACGUGGUAUCCUGUCUGAAUAUGGGGGGACCAUCCUCCAAGGCUAAAUACUCCUGACUGACCGAUAGUGAACCAGUACCGUGAGGGAAAGGCGAAAAGAACCCCGGCGAGGGGAGUGAAAAAGAACCUGAAACCGUGUACGUACAAGCAGUGGGAGCACGCUUCGGCGUGUGACUGCGUACCUUUUGUAUAAUGGGUCAGCGACUUAUAUUCUGUAGCAAGGUUAACCGAAUAGGGGAGCCGAAGGGAAACCGAGUCUUAACUGGGCGUUAAGUUGCAGGGUAUAGACCCGAAACCCGGUGAUCUAGCCAUGGGCAGGUUGAAGGUUGGGUAACACUAACUGGAGGACCGAACCGACUAAUGUUGAAAAAUUAGCGGAUGACUUGUGGCUGGGGGUGAAAGGCCAAUCAAACCGGGAGAUAGCUGGUUCUCCCCGAAAGCUAUUUAGGUAGCGCCUCGUGAAUUCAUCUCCGGGGGUAGAGCACUGUUUCGGCAAGGGGGUCAUCCCGACUUACCAACCCGAUGCAAACUGCGAAUACCGGAGAAUGUUAUCACGGGAGACACACGGCGGGUGCUAACGUCCGUCGUGAAGAGGGAAACAACCCAGACCGCCAGCUAAGGUCCCAAAGUCAUGGUUAAGUGGGAAACGAUGUGGGAAGGCCCAGACAGCCAGGAUGUUGGCUUAGAAGCAGCCAUCAUUUAAAGAAAGCGUAAUAGCUCACUGGUCGAGUCGGCCUGCGCGGAAGAUGUAACGGGGCUAAACCAUGCACCGAAGCUGCGGCAGCGACACUAUGUGUUGUUGGGUAGGGGAGCGUUCUGUAAGCCUGUGAAGGUGUACUGUGAGGUAUGCUGGAGGUAUCAGAAGUGCGAAUGCUGACAUAAGUAACGAUAAAGCGGGUGAAAAGCCCGCUCGCCGGAAGACCAAGGGUUCCUGUCCAACGUUAAUCGGGGCAGGGUGAGUCGACCCCUAAGGCGAGGCCGAAAGGCGUAGUCGAUGGGAAACAGGUUAAUAUUCCUGUACUUGGUGUUACUGCGAAGGGGGGACGGAGAAGGCUAUGUUGGCCGGGCGACGGUUGUC